Molecule: transfer RNA, 80 nt
Filed under: Macleaya cordata
Lineage: Eukaryota; Viridiplantae; Streptophyta; Magnoliopsida; Ranunculales; Papaveraceae
Rfam family: tRNA
About the family: Transfer RNA (tRNA) molecules are approximately 80 nucleotides in length. Their secondary structure includes four short double-helical elements and three loops (D, anti-codon, and T loops). Further hydrogen bonds mediate the characteristic L-shaped molecular structure. tRNAs have two regions of fundamental functional importance: the anti-codon, which is responsible for specific mRNA codon recognition, and the 3' end, to which the tRNAs corresponding amino acid is attached (by aminoacyl-tRNA synthetases). tRNAs cope with the degeneracy of the genetic code in two manners: having more than one tRNA (with a specific anti-codon) for a particular amino acid; and 'wobble' base-pairing, i.e. permitting non-standard base-pairing at the 3rd anti-codon position.
Source: Rfam by way of RNAcentral
GACAGUUUGCCCGAGUAGUCUAAGGCACCAGAUUUAGGCUCUGGUCCGAAAGGGCGUGAGUUCCAAUCCCACAACUGUCA